UUCCCUUACGAUCACCGAAGUUAAGCAACGUCGAGCUGGGUCAGUACUUAGAUGGGUGACUUUUGGGGAAUACCCCGUGCUGUAAG
Acanthosepion pharaonis is the source of this 86-nucleotide non-coding RNA. The record is from the annotation of a GenBank genome assembly. Lineage: Eukaryota; Metazoa; Mollusca; Cephalopoda; Sepiida; Sepiidae.